This 1140-nucleotide long non-coding RNA is filed under the name Canis lupus familiaris (dog). RNAcentral's name for it is "lncRNA (ENSCAFG00030025608.1)". Lineage: Eukaryota; Metazoa; Chordata; Mammalia; Carnivora; Canidae. The record is from RNAcentral.
AGUGGCCGGGCGGGAAGGCGCCGGCAGGGCGGGCAGCGUGGUGAUGCUCCCGGCUGCCAUGCCCCACCCCGGGGGGGCUCUGCCGGGGUGUCCGCGCCCCCAGAGCCGCGCGAGGAGCCGCCGCCGCCCCCGGGCCCGGGCCGACCCGGUCCGGGGCGCGGCCAUGCCCCCGGCCCUCCAGCCUCCCGCCCGGCAGCGCGCGGCAGCGCCCGCGGGCCCCCAGCCUCGCGCGGUCCUGCAGCUCCCCUCGCCAGCUGCCCUGGCGCGCGAGCCGUGAGCUGGGCGCGGGGCCCGGGAGCUGAGCGCGGGGAGCUGCACUCGGGGCCGGGGAGCUGCACUCGGGCUCGGGGAGCUGCACUCGGGGCCGGGGAGCUGCACUCGGGGCCGGGGAGCUGCACUCGGGCUCGGGGAGCUGCACUCGGGGCCGGGGAGCUGCACUCGGGCUCGGGGAGCUGCACUCGGAGCGGGGAGCUGCACUCGGGCUCGGGGAGCUGCACUCGGGCUCGGGGAGCUGCACUCGGAGCGGGGAGCUGCACUCGGGGCCGGGGAGCUGCACUCGGGCUCGGGGAGCUGCACUCGGAGCGGGGAGCUGCACUCGGGGCCGGGGAGCUGCACUCGGGGCCGGGGAGCUGCACUCGGGCUCGGGGAGCUGCGCGCGGGCCGAGGAGCUGCGCGCGGGCCGAGGAGCUGCACUCGGGCUCGGGGAACUGCACUCGGGCUCGGGGAGCUGCGCGCGGGCUCGGGGAGCUGCACUCGGGCUCGGGGAGCUGCACUCGGAGCGGGGAGCUGCACUCGGGCUCGGGGAGCUGCACUCGGGCUCGGGGAGCUGCACUCGGAGCGGGGAGCUGCACUCGGGGCCGGGGAGCUGCACUCGGGCUCGGGGAGCUGCACUCGGAGCGGGGAGCUGCACUCGGGGCCGGGGAGCUGCACUCGGGGCCGGGGAGCUGCACUCGGGCUCGGGGAGCUGCGCGCGGGCCGAGGAGCUGCGCGCGGGCCGAGGAGCUGCACUCGGGCUCGGGGAACUGCACUCGGGCUCGGGGAGCUGCGCGCGGGCUCGGGGAGCUGCACUCGGGGCCGGGGAGCUGCGCCCGGGCUCGAGGCCUGGGAGCUGUGCUCCUGGAGAUCAUCUUUGAAUUCUGA